This is a long non-coding RNA of Sorghum bicolor (sorghum), 1519 nucleotides long. RefSeq lists it as uncharacterized. Lineage: Eukaryota; Viridiplantae; Streptophyta; Magnoliopsida; Poales; Poaceae. The transcript has 2 exons. The record is from RefSeq and is a predicted model, not a curated record.
CAUGGCCACCACCACCACCACCACACCCAGGUGGCCAUGCAGAUGCAUGCCGCAUGCUAGCGUUGGCAGGGGAGAAGGGGCCGGCCAUGGUCAUAGUGUAGCAGUGUGGCAACUGGUUCUGCCUCGGCCUCUUGCAUGCUCGCUUCAGCUGAAAGCAAGGGUAGUGUGGCUUUGGAGUAGAAACACCGGAGAGGUGAGAGGUCGUAGUAGUCUCGUCUGGCAUACGGACAUGUCCUAGCAAAGCUAGCUAGCUUUGCUUCAGAUCAGGACAUCACCAGUGCAUUGCAGCAGUGUCCUGCUCCUGCUCCUGCGGCCGAGGUAUCUCCUCCUGCUGGCUCCAUGAUUACUUUACUAUAUCCGUGCAAGUGAUGAGGUGUGGUUGUGCUUAGUCUUCAUGCAUGCAAGCUUGCAAGUGAUGGGCACGACCGGGUUUAACUUGCUAUCGUACAGAGGGUGAGUAAAUGCUGACCUAACUGGAUUCAAGAGCAUGUCCACCACCUAUCUCCUGCAUGCCGCACAAUUCAUUCAUUCAUUCAUUCAAGAAUAUAUUAUUAUUAUCAAAACCAAGGAAAUAUGAGACGAUAGAGUAUGUAGUAUCCAUUAUUUGGUACCGCAUGCAUUUACAUAAUACUAGUAUAUUACUCAUGGGAUAAGGAUAUUAGUCUAUCAUUAAGAAAUAAAAAUAGGCAUAAGGAGUGCCCCCUAUGCAUACAAGAAUGAAAUAUGAUCCUGAUGCCUCGGUGCCUCCCAUGUAGUGUAGCACACAAGACCACGAGUGUAGUAUAACUGUUGUGGUAAGUCUUGGAACACCCACUUGUUGUAUGAGAAAUUGAAAUGGGCUGGUUACUCUUCUUAAAACCAUCAUAAAUAAUGUAAGCUCAAAUUAGACAACCAUUCUCAAAAUUCAAAACUAUGACAAAUGUAAGAAUUUGGCCAAAACUUUUUCGUCUCAAAAGAAAGACACCCAUUCUCAACCAACCUUUUCCGUGGUGCAUUUGUUUAGCACUGUCGAUCAUGGAAUUAUUUUUGCAUGGACUUGUUUUCAUUUGAGCAAGCGAGCCGCGUGCAGCGAAGCUCCGGCUUGCACAGUCCUACUACGUAGGAGUAGGAGUGUAGGAGUACAAGUGACCAUGCAUCACAUCGCACAAGAAUACAAGAGCGGCGAGCGGGUUUCCAGAGGCAAAAGCCUCACCACCUUUCCAGUCCGGUUGACAUGCCUUGAUGACUGCCAUUUCAGGACAUGUAGGUAGGGUAGGGGGCCCGGCGCCGGGCCGGAUCUUCUACGCCACCGGACGCCCCAUGCAGCUGCAAUGACAAGUUGACAACGACGACACACCCCUCCUGUUCCUCGCAAAAACAACAAAAACAAAAAACAAAGAAAGAAAUUAAUGUGUGUACCGUCGGCAGCACGUAGCCUGGUGGCCCUGCUUGUUCUUCUCGUGAGUGUUUUGAAUGUAUUUCUGUACUACGACUAGCACAGUACCGGAUGAUAUGAUAAUAUUAAUUAAUUGAAAUCCAA